GACGAACGCUGGCGGCGUGCUUAACACAUGCAAGUCGAACGAUGAAGCCGGAGCUUGCUCCGGUGGAUUAGUGGCGAACGGGUGAGUAACACGUGAGCAAUCUGCCCUUGACUCUGGGAUAACUGCGGGAAACUGUAGCUAAUACCGGAUACGACACCUUGGGGCAUCCCAGGGUGUGGAAGGAAUUUCGGUCAAGGAUGAGCUCGCGGCCUAUCAGCUAGUUGGUGAGGUAAUGGCCCACCAAGGCGACGACGGGUAGCCGGCCUGAGAGGGUGACCGGCCACACUGGAACUGAGACACGGUCCAGACUCCUACGGGAGGCAGCAGUGGGGAAUAUUGCACAAUGGGCGAAAGCCUGAUGCAGCAACGCCGCGUGAGGGAUGAAGGCCUUCGGGUUGUAAACCUCUUUUAGCAGGAAAGAAGCGAAAGUGACGGUACCUGCAGAAAAAGCACCGGCUAACUGCGUGCCAGCCGCCGCCGUAA
RNAcentral lists this ribosomal RNA (483 nucleotides) under uncultured bacterium. RNAcentral's name for it is "partial 16S ribosomal RNA". It matches the Rfam family "Bacterial small subunit ribosomal RNA", at positions 28 to 523 of the family's 1533-position model. The record is from RNAcentral.